RNAcentral lists this transfer RNA (82 nucleotides) under Verrucomicrobiota bacterium. RNAcentral describes it as "Verrucomicrobia bacterium (mine drainage metagenome) tRNA-Leu". It matches the Rfam family "tRNA". From Rfam's summary of the family: Transfer RNA (tRNA) molecules are approximately 80 nucleotides in length. Their secondary structure includes four short double-helical elements and three loops (D, anti-codon, and T loops). Lineage: Bacteria; Pseudomonadati; Verrucomicrobiota. The record is from RNAcentral.
GCGCGCGUGGCGGAACUGGCAGACGCGCCGGACUUAGGAUCCGGUUCCGAAAGGAUUGGAGGUUCGAGUCCUCUCGCGCGCA